UAAGCUCAGACUCCACAGGGUCCCAGAGACACUCUGUGGUGGGGAAUAAAGUGGGUUCUGCAGGAACCUGGCUGGGAGAGGUUUUUUUCCUGCCUUCUAGGGAGAUUUUGGGAUGGACUGAGGAGCCACCAAGAUGCUCAGAUGUGCCCUGGUGGCUGCAAGUCUUGUUGGGAAAAGAUGGCAUCUCGUCAGGUCAUUGCAUGCACUGAGACAUUUCAUCACCAGGCCAUUUUGGCUCCACGCUGUGUUAGUGCAAGCCUGGAACUGGGAUUUACUGCUUCCUCACACCCGGCCACACACAGAAGUGCUGCUGAAACGCCGCUGCAAAGAGGGGCCAGCUUCAGAGUGCUACCAAAAGGAAGCAGCGAGGGAAUUCCCCCCCCUGCUCAUGUUGCAUCUUAGGGUUUGCUCCGUGCUUGGGCCAUAUGUGACCCGUGCCCCAGGGGGACAGGGGGACAUCAAAGGGCGGCUUCAGGCAAGGAUGAGCUCACUCGCCCCCCUCGACCCCUUCUGCAAGGCAGGGGGUGGCAGCUCCACGUCCACCCAUCCCAGCCACGGCUGGGGGGGUCUGGGGCAGGGAACCCCCUGC
Long non-coding RNA from Oxyura jamaicensis (ruddy duck), 589 nucleotides. RefSeq lists it as uncharacterized. The record is from RefSeq and is a predicted model, not a curated record. NCBI's taxonomy places the organism in Eukaryota, Metazoa, Chordata, Aves, Anseriformes, Anatidae. The transcript is spliced from 2 exons.